UGCGUAGGUGGUUUGUUAAGUCAGAUGUGAAAGCCCUGGGCUCAACCUGGGAACUGCAUUUGAUACUGGCAGGCUAGAGUGCGGUAGAGGGUGGUGGAAUUCCCGGUGUAGCGGUGAAAUGCGUAGAGAUCGGGAGGAACAUUCGUGGCGAAGGCGGCCACCUGGACCAGCACUGACACUGAGGCACGAAAGCGUGGGAGCAAACA
RNAcentral lists this ribosomal RNA (206 nucleotides) under uncultured bacterium. Its description in RNAcentral is "partial 16S ribosomal RNA". It matches the Rfam family "Bacterial small subunit ribosomal RNA", at positions 568 to 774 of the family's 1533-position model. The record is from RNAcentral.